CCUACGGGUGGCAGCAGUGGGGAAUAUUGGGCAAUGGGCGCAAGCCUGACCCAGCAACGCCGCGUGAAGGAAGAAGGCUUUCGGGUUGUAAACUUCUUUUCUCAGGGACGAAGCAAGUGACGGUACCUGAGGAAUAAGCCACGGCUAACUACGUGCCAGCAGCCACGGUAAUACGUAGGUGGCAAGCGUUAUCCGGAUUUACUGGGUGUAAAGGGGGUGUAGGCGGGACUGCAAGUCAGAUGUGAAAACCACGGGCUCAACCUGUGGCCUGCAUUUGAAACUGUAGUUCUUGAGUACUGGAGAGGCAGAUGGAAUUCCUGGUGUAGCGGUGAAAUGCGUAGAGAUUAGGAGGAACACCAGUGGCGAAGGCGGUCUGCUAGACAGCAACUGACGCUGAGGCGCGAAAGCGUGGGGAGCAAACAGGAUUAGAUACCCCAGUAGUC
Molecule: ribosomal RNA, 443 nt
Filed under: uncultured bacterium
Lineage: Bacteria
Description: partial 16S ribosomal RNA
Rfam family: Bacterial small subunit ribosomal RNA
Source: RNAcentral